AGGGUGGGUAGUGGACACUGAGGUUGAGAGGGGUGUUGGUAGGGUGGGUAGUGGACACAGGUUGAGAGGGGUGUUGGUGUGGAGUGGACACUGAGGUUGAGAGGGGUGUUGGUAGGGUGGGUAGUGGACACUGAGGUUGAGAGGGGUGUUGGUGUGGAGUGGACACUGAGGUUGAGAGGGGUGUUGGUAGGGUGGGUAGUGGACACUGAGGUUGAGAGGGGUGUUGGUGGGUGGUGGACACUGAGGUUGAGAGGGGUGUUGGUAGGGUGGGUAGUGGACACUGAGGUUGAGAGGGGUGUUAGUGGGGUGGGUAGUGGACACUGAGGUUG
Oncorhynchus tshawytscha (Chinook salmon) is the source of this 329-nucleotide long non-coding RNA. The record is from Ensembl. Lineage: Eukaryota; Metazoa; Chordata; Actinopteri; Salmoniformes; Salmonidae.